Eubalaena glacialis (North Atlantic right whale) is the source of this 1653-nucleotide long non-coding RNA. RefSeq lists it as uncharacterized. The transcript is spliced from 5 exons. Lineage: Eukaryota; Metazoa; Chordata; Mammalia; Artiodactyla; Balaenidae. The record is from RefSeq and is a predicted model, not a curated record.
CACUCCCUUGUAGUAAAUCACCCCUUGCAGGAUUUGCAUUUCAGAAACAAAGGUCGCAGGCGGAUAACCCAGAGACAAACGGACCCAAUUACCCGACUGCCUGACGCCAGCUGUGACUGUUUUGAAAUAAUGCGGAAAGAAGAAGAAUGCAAGACCUUCACUACUUUGAUCCUUAUCAUCUACCCCGGACUGCAGCCCCACAUAUAAAAUCUUCUCCGAUUCCCGAAGGAGGUGGGGGGCACUGUCCUUGAGGCGCUAGCCUGCUGUGUCUUCCCUUGUGCCUGGCUGAAAAAUCAAGCCAUCUCUCUCUUCCUCCAAAAUCUCUGUCUCCGAAUUUCUGUUCGGCAUCGGUGCACAGAGAAGCCGAGAUUUCGUCCACAAAAUGGGGCUCCUCCGCGAUCUGCUCGCAGGCAGGCGGCUCCGCCGUGCCCCUCGGCUUGAUCGGAAGCUUGGGGAUCUCUCUCCACGCCCUUCAGGAGAGCGGAGGGUUCGAGGAUAUCCUUGAGUCCAGAUCGCCAGGGACUCCCUGCCCCAGGGCUGUGCCCCAUCACACCCGGCCCGCCGACGCGGCUGCGGAACUCCGAGGCUGCGGCAGAGAACGCGGGAGAGGCUGACCCAGCAGCUGCCAGGCUUCUUUUGCCUUAAGGACACCUUCUCUUCUCUUGCCCGUGCCGGCCUGGACUUCCACUCUGAGAAAACACUAAAUAUUGGAAGAUCAGAAAGAGGGCAUACGGAGGUCGCGACACACCCCGUCAGCAUCUACGACCAUAAUGCUAAAUUGGAUAUAAAGAAGCUCUUCUCCUCAAGCUACUUAUGGUUUACAACAAUUUGGUGAUUUACACUUACGGUAAUCUAUCUUUGGAUGAAGAUCAGAUGCCCCACUACCUACAACCAGAGGAUUAUACAUACUGGAAAAGACAUAAUUUAAAGGACUAUCUCCAAACUGGAUGGAAGGACCCUUAUCAGAUUACAAUAGGUUCACAUCAAGAUAAUGAUGAUGCAAAGAUUCCAGCCAUUUCUCAGAACAGAUCCUGCCAAAACAACAACAGAAGUCACCCCGGGGCCCUUAAUAAGACAGGAAACAAGGUCGCCGGCGGAUAACCCAGAGACAAACGGACCCAAUUACCCGACUGCCUGACGCCAGCUGUGACUGUUUUGAAAUAAUGCGGGAAGAAGAAGAAUGCAAGACCUUUACUACUUUGAUCCUUAUCAUCUACCCCGGACUGCAGCCCCACAUAUAAAAUCUUCUCCGAUUCCCGAAGGAGGUGGGGGGCACUGUCCUUGAGGCGCUAGCCUGCUGUGUCUUCCCUUGUGCCUGGCAGAAAUAUCAAUCCAUCUCUCUCUUCCUCCAAAAUCUCUGGCUCCGACUUUCUGUUCGGCAUCGGUGCACAGAGAAGCCGAGAUUUCGGCAACAGUUCUACUUAUUAACCCAAGGCUGAAGUCUCAGGCAAAGUGGGCUGCGUUUAUAUUUCAGGGACAUGUAAGAGUUCACCUCGAGCUUUCUCCUAGGCAUAUUUUUGUUCUCACAGGGUCAGAAUUCUGAAAAAAAGUAUUUUAUCAAACCAGCUUUCUCUAACUGCAUAUGCAAAAAGAAACAGUUUUGGCAUAAAAAAACUUCAUCUUGGCCAUUUUUCUCCAGAGUCUAAAGAACAC